RNAcentral lists this transfer RNA (62 nucleotides) under Pseudagrion pilidorsum pilidorsum. Its description in RNAcentral is "tRNA-Leu". Lineage: Eukaryota; Metazoa; Arthropoda; Insecta; Odonata; Coenagrionidae. The record is from RNAcentral.
UGUGGCAGAAAAGUGCUAUGGAUUUAAGCUCCAUCCAUGGAGGAUAGGGCCUCUCAUUAAAA